Molecule: long non-coding RNA, 1419 nt
Filed under: Brassica napus (rape)
Lineage: Eukaryota; Viridiplantae; Streptophyta; Magnoliopsida; Brassicales; Brassicaceae
Description: long non-coding RNA (BNAP_LNC014241)
Source: RNAcentral
UUGUUUCUUCUCUCAACUGUCACCAUCUCAUCAUCGUCGUUUCUUCUCUCGACUCUCACCAUCUCAACCAGAGACGAAAUCCCAAUCGCCUCACCAUCUCAUCUCUCGCCGCCUUAACGCCUCACCAUCUCAUCUCAUCGUCAUCACUCGUCAUCAUCAUUACUUUACAGGGCAAACCAGAGACGAGAUCCCAAUCAUCUCAUCUCAUCUCAUCACGGUCACAAUCAGAUCAGCAAGCAUACCAUUUUGUAAGUAGGUACAUUUGAAGAAUGUUCUUUGUUCUUAGCUAGCAGAAUAUGGUGAGAUCUUUUGCUUAUGGAUUUGUAUGCCUAGUAAUGAGAAAAUUGAAAGAACUCGAUAUGUGACGAUUCAAGCACUUUCUGGGUUUGUUAAAAUCGAUCUCUAGGUAUGUGGGUUGGUCGAAAUCGAUCGCUAGGGUUUGUGGGUUUGCUGAAAUCGAUCUCUAGGGUAUGUGGGUUUGUAGAAUUGAGAUUGUCUCUUGUUGUCUGAGAUUGUAUCUUGCUGUCUCAGAUUAUAGCUUGCUGUUUGGUAGACUGUAGGUUGUAUCUUGCUGUCUGAGACUGUAGCUUGCUGUCUGGUUUAAGUAUAUAUUUUUGGUGCUGUUGUGUCGUCCUGUAUCUAUGCGUUUAUGAGCUCAAAACCUUAAUGGCGUUAGGCGUUAGCUUGUUUGGUGUAUUGUUCAGUGAAGAUAAACCCAUUUGAAUGUUAUUAGGGCACUUGAUUUUUGAUUGAUUGUGUAGAUGUCUUCUAGCUUUUCCAUGUUGUGUCUUUAGCUAGCGAGUUUCCACUCUGAGAUCAGCUUAAUAAUAUACUCGUUACGUUGUGGGUUUCUUGCGUGUAUGAAUGUAUCAGUGUGUCACUCACUGGUCGAGUUUGACUGUUUUAGCUUCUAGCUAAUGAAUCAAGCAUCUUGUUGUUGGCUGUGAUAAACUGAUUAUGUUGUUGGCUUGUUGCAGAGCAACGAGUGUUUGAAGAGACUCAAGAGUCAAGAGACUUGGAGAACAACAAGUGUUGGCUGACUUGAGAGUUUGAGUAAAGUUCUAUUUAUUAAAGUAGCUACAAAGUUGUGGUCAAGAGUUAUACUUAUACUUUGCAUUUACAUUACAUGAAUGUUAAUUUGGUUUUUAAUUUCAGUGACAAAAAUGAAUAAAAGACACAUUUUGCAUUUACAUGAACAUGAUUAUACUUGCAGUUUUUAACAUUUAAAUUUAAGUUGAAUUUGAUAUGCAAAAAAUUAUUGACUUGUAAAAAAAUUAAAUGGGCUAACCCUGGUCUAACCCUAACCCUUAUAAAAAAAUAGGGUUAAAAUAGGGUUGGGUUAAAACAUGCCUCGGUGUAUAUUACACAAGGAAGGGCUUAACCCUAACCUUUUACACAACAUCCCUAGUUAUCUUACAG